CCUAUCCUACGGGAGGCAGCAGUCGGGAAUAUUGCGCAAUGGAGGAAACUCUGACGCAGUGACGCCGCGUGCAGGAAGAAGGUUUUCGGAUUGUAAACUGCUUUAGACGGGGAAGAAACAAGACAGUACCUGUAGAAUAAGCUCCGGCUAACUACGUGCCAGCAGCCGCGGUAAUACGGAGGGCGCGAGCGUUAAUCGGAAUUACUGGGCGUAAAGCGCGCGUAGGCUGUUGUGCAAGUUGGGGGUGAAAUCCCACGGCUCAACCGUGGAACAGCCCUUGAUACUGCGCGACUUGAAUCCGGGAG
RNAcentral lists this ribosomal RNA (305 nucleotides) under uncultured bacterium. RNAcentral's name for it is "bacterial SSU rRNA". It matches the Rfam family "Bacterial small subunit ribosomal RNA", at positions 333 to 654 of the family's 1533-position model. The record is from RNAcentral.